Molecule: long non-coding RNA, 1057 nt
Organism: Drosophila persimilis
Lineage: Eukaryota; Metazoa; Arthropoda; Insecta; Diptera; Drosophilidae
Exons: 2
Source: RefSeq, a predicted model, not a curated record
UCAUUUCAUUUGUAGUCGUCUACGAUUAUUUUUGGUUCCUGGUUCCACAAAUUCGGGUCAAAUUCAAAAGAGCGUCGAUGCGAAGGUUGAGUUGAUAAGCUACAACACGACAUCUCCAAAAAGCCCAAGGCUCCCCAUGACAACAAGGCAUCCCCUUUUUCAUCAAUGAAAAAUAAACUUUGCGAUGACAAACCGGAUUACAAUACGAACGUUUUGGAAAUCAGGACCUGGAAAUCGACCUGGGCCUGGAUCGUUCGUUUAAAUGGUCAUGUGUAGUCGCUGAUGUACCAACUGUAAUUAUUCCUAGCAAAGUUCCAUUUGCUUGUUGACGUCAACAAGCAACAUCUCACCAACGGCACAAUCUGUAAUCUCGCAGGAUUUUGCUUCGCCAUAUAACGAUAAAGCGCAUCAAUGCAAGGACCAGCAAACUGAUGACCUCACCCUCGACAACAUGAGCACAUCAGAUUCACCUUCAGUUCGCCACUACAUAACAAAACUGGAGCACCAGUAGCAGAUCGUCCCAGACGCGUGAUGGAAGAGAAGUACAGAUACAUCGUCAGGAUUUGUAGUCCAUGGACCAGCCCGUUGCACAUGGAAGCAAACACCAGUGGCGUACAGCGACAGAACAGCCUGGAUGGUCACAUUCAUGUCGGGCAUAUUGAAUGUUUCGAACCUGAUCUGAUUUAUCCUCUCACGGUUAGCCUUGGGGUUAAGAGGGGCCUCGUUCAGCAAGACGCACGCAUCUCGCUAUUGCUGAGGACCAAGAACGUUGGUGAUGAAUGAGCUGCGUGUGGCCCCCGAGGAUCACCCCGUUUUGCUGGCCGAGCCCCUCUUAGCCCGAAGGCUAACCGUGAGAGGAUGACUCAGAUCAGGUUCGUAACAUUCAAUGUACCCGCCAUGAAUGUGGCCAUCCAGGCUGUUCUGUCGCUGUACGCCUCUGAUGAAUGGGGGGAAAUCGUUUAACGAUCUAGAACUUUAACGGGAAUCCUUCAAUGGAAGUUCGGUCUUGAGAGACGAAAGAGAACAUUCGAGCAAUUAAAGCUAAAUAUUCGAAGUA